AUUGAACGCUGGCGGCAUGCCUUACACAUGCAAGUCGGACGGCAGCGCGGGAGCAAUCCUGGCGGCGAGUGGCGAACGGGUGAGUAAUACAUCGGAACAUGUCCAGUAGUGGGGGAUAGCCCGGCGAAAGCCGGAUUAAUACCGCAUACGAUCUAUGGAUGAAAGCGGGGGAUCGCAAGACCUCGCGCUAUUGGGGUGGCCGAUGGCGGAUUAGCUAGUUGGUGGGGUAAAGGCCUACCAAGGCGACGAUCCGUAGCUGGUCUGAGAGGACGACCAGCCACACUGGGACUGAGACACGGCCCAGACUCCUACGGGAGGCAGCAGUGGGGAAUUUUGGACAAUGGGGGCAACCCUGAUCCAGCAAUGCCGCGUGUGUGAAGAAGGCCUUCGGGUUGUAAAGCACUUUUGUCCGGGAAGAAGUCCCCUGCCCUAAUACGGCGGGG
RNAcentral lists this ribosomal RNA (443 nucleotides) under Burkholderia sp. oral taxon D43. RNAcentral's name for it is "bacterial SSU rRNA". It matches the Rfam family "Bacterial small subunit ribosomal RNA", at positions 29 to 468 of the family's 1533-position model. The record is from RNAcentral. Lineage: Bacteria; Pseudomonadati; Pseudomonadota; Betaproteobacteria; Burkholderiales; Burkholderiaceae.